AAGUUUGUGCAACAAAGCCACAAUAAAAGGACCUCUCUAGUCUGACAGACGUUCAGGUAACAUUUUGCAUUGCAGCAGGACAUUUCACCAGAAACUUGCAAAGACAAGAGGCACUGUCAAAACAUGAAGGCUGUUAUUCUUGCUCUUUUUGUGUUGCUGCUCAUCAGCCAAAAUGAAGCCUUGAGGUGUCUCUGUGGAGGUAAAAGACGAUGUUCAAGUCCUAUAGAGACCUGCACCACCUCUGACAGCGUCUGCAUCAGUGCCAACUUUUACGGCGUACCCCAGCCCUUCUACUUCAGGGGUUGCUACAGAGAAAGCGACUGCAGGAAGGUAAGCCUUCCCGGCAUGUCAACUGCCAGCUGCUGCAGGACCGACCUCUGCAACUGAAACAAACUGAAGACCAAGCAAAUAACUUACUUUGAACUGAAAAUGUACUUUAGUUUAAUGUGUGCUUGUGACAUAUUCAAUUCAGUUGUAUUGUCACUUGGUGGUGAAUCGUUGUAACUAACCUAAAUGAUGUUUUUAAUCAGUUUAAAUUGAUGCAUAGUUAAUUGAAUGAUUAUAUAAAUAAAACACUGAAUAAAACACUGGUGUAGAUUCUUGGUCAUCCAGGACAUAACAGUCCUAAGUGUUUAAGUAGAAGAAAACCAGACUUUUUCCUUUUGUUUAUUAAAGAUGUUUCAAGAUUAA
Long non-coding RNA from Fundulus heteroclitus (mummichog), 690 nucleotides. RefSeq lists it as uncharacterized. The transcript has 4 exons. Lineage: Eukaryota; Metazoa; Chordata; Actinopteri; Cyprinodontiformes; Fundulidae. The record is from RefSeq and is a predicted model, not a curated record.